This 298-nucleotide long non-coding RNA is filed under the name Gallus gallus (chicken). Lineage: Eukaryota; Metazoa; Chordata; Aves; Galliformes; Phasianidae. The record is from RNAcentral.
CUCCACGCACGGGGUCCCCUCCUCAGCCGGAGGGCACCCCAGUUUCACCCACAUGCAAGGGGAACCCUUGAAAACUUCAGGGCUAAGCCCCAUCUCACCUCCAUGCACGGGGUCCUCUCCUCAGCCGGAGGGCACCCCAGUUCUACUUGCAAACAAGGGGAACCCUUGAAAACUUCAGGGCUAAGCCCCAUCUCACCUCCACGCACGGGGUCCUCUCCUCAGCCGGAGGGCACCCCAGUUUGACCCGCAUGCAAGGGGAACCCUUGAAAACUUCAGGGCUAAGCCCCAUCUCACCUCC